UGUGUAGGCGGUUCCCUAAGUUUGGUGUGAAAUCUCCCGGCUCAACCGGGAGGGUGCGCCGAAAACUGGGGGACUAGAGUGCGGGAAGGGAGAGUGGAAUUCCUGGUGUAGCGGUGAAAUGCGUAGAUAUCAGGAGGAACACCGGUGGUGUAGACGGCUCUCUGGACCGUAACUGACGCUGAGACACGAAAGCGUGGGUAGCAAACAGGAUUAGAUACCCUGGUAGUCCACGCCCUAAACGAUGCAUAUUUGGUGUAGGUCAUUCAGUUGAUCUGUGCCGGAGCUAACGCGUUAAAUAUGCCGCCUGGGGAGUACAGUCGCAAGGCUGAA
This 330-nucleotide ribosomal RNA is filed under the name uncultured bacterium. RNAcentral describes it as "bacterial SSU rRNA". It matches the Rfam family "Bacterial small subunit ribosomal RNA", at positions 568 to 898 of the family's 1533-position model. The record is from RNAcentral.